CUGGAAAGACUAUUCUGGAUUCAAAUUGUUACUUUUAGAAUAGAUUUUUCGUAAGUGCAAUACUGAUCUUCGGAACCCCCUUUCUA
RNAcentral lists this microRNA precursor (86 nucleotides) under Glycine max (soybean). RNAcentral's name for it is "miR5768 stem-loop (gma-MIR5768)". Lineage: Eukaryota; Viridiplantae; Streptophyta; Magnoliopsida; Fabales; Fabaceae. The record is from miRBase by way of RNAcentral.